Molecule: long non-coding RNA, 317 nt
Organism: Alexandromys fortis (reed vole)
Lineage: Eukaryota; Metazoa; Chordata; Mammalia; Rodentia; Cricetidae
Exons: 3
Source: RefSeq, a predicted model, not a curated record
UUUUGCAAGGCUUCUGGAAGGGUGAAGUACACUCGCCGCCGCCGUCUGCAUCUGGCGACUUAGCCAAUUCAGAGCCAGCACACCAGGUUUUCUCUGUCGAGAAACUUGGGGAACUCACUGCCUUUUUUGUGAGGGUUCUGGAAGAGGUACUUCAAAGGCUCGGAGCCAUUUUGUGAGGUUCUUGAAAGGGAGCCGGUCUUGCUGUUCUUUUGGAGCCCAGGAAGGUGAGCCCAUACAUUGUGUGGGAUCACCAAAGCAGCAGUGGAACCACCUGAGAUCACCAGAGGGAGGUGUCCUGUAUCUGUCAGCAAUCCAGG